GGUAUUUGUGGUCACUGUUUGGAGCGUGGAACUGUAUAUGGUGCCCCUGGCUCUGCUGGUGCUUUUUGCGUACAACUUCUCCCUCAUCACAACGGGGAAGGUCAACAACACGCAAGAUGCCCAGGAGCUUAUGGGCUUGGAUGAAGAUGAGGAUGAAGAUGAUAAGGAAUCUGAGAAAAAGGGUUUAAUUGAUAGAAUCCACAUGGUCCAAGAGAUCAUCAUAGCUGUUCAAAGCAUCCUAGAAGAAAUAGCA
Molecule: long non-coding RNA, 253 nt
Filed under: Buteo japonicus
Lineage: Eukaryota; Metazoa; Chordata; Aves; Accipitriformes; Accipitridae
Description: lncRNA (ENSBJAG00000003151.1)
Source: RNAcentral